Molecule: non-coding RNA, 222 nt
Organism: Youngiibacter fragilis 232.1
Lineage: Bacteria; Bacillati; Bacillota; Clostridia; Eubacteriales; Clostridiaceae
Source: Rfam
GUCAACUUACCCUCGACUGAAGUCGAAGUCAUGAAGGAGCAAUCCUUAAUGCCUGGUUGAUUAGCCUCAGUGUUUCUGGCACUACGUUGUUUUUGUCAUAACACCCAUGGACGUCCAUCCUAAUCCGUGGCUCUGUUGUCUGUGAUUAAAUGUUCUCUGGGGUUAACGGGAACGGUGUUGCAGGCGUAAAAAGUAAUUACAACAUUGGCGAAGGAUGCCAAC